Molecule: ribosomal RNA, 407 nt
Filed under: uncultured bacterium
Lineage: Bacteria
Description: partial 16S ribosomal RNA
Rfam family: Bacterial small subunit ribosomal RNA
Source: RNAcentral
AUUGAACGCUGGCGGCAGGCCUAACACAUGCAAGUCGAGCGGAGCGGCGGACGGGGGAGGAAUGCCUAGGAAUCGGCCUGGGAGUGGGGGAUAACGUCCGGAAACGGGCGCUAAUACCGCAUACUCUCAGAUGAGCCUAGGUCGGAGUAGCUAGUUGGUGGGGUAAAGGCCUACCAAGGCGACGAUCCGUAUCUGGUCUGAGAGGAUGAUCAGUCACACUGGAACUGAGACACGGUCCAGACUCCUACGGGAGGCAGCAGUGGGGAAUAUUGGACAAUGGGCGAAAGCCUGAUGCAGCCAUGCCGCGUGUGUGAAGAAGGUCUUCGGAUUGUAAAGCACUUUAAGUUGGGAGGCGUUACCCACAGAAUCAGCACCGGCUAACUCCGUGCCAGCAGCCGCGGUAAUAC